CUUGUUCCGCUAGAGUCGCAGAAGCGUCAGUGGCUGUCUCUGCGGCUGCGUGGCGGGUUGUCCAGGUAACCACGGGAGUUGUCGCUGUCCGGUAGCAUCUGAGCAAUAGUUGCGCGUCAGGCAGUUGAAGCACCUGAGGACCCUGCUGAGCUCUCAGUACCUGGGUGCCAAGAAACUGAAGUUUAAUGAUGUGGAGCUCCUACUUUGUGCAGAAGGCUGGAAAACGGAAGGCUGGAAAGGAUAUAGCGAUGACCCAGACCCUGUCCUGUCGAUACAGUUCAGGAGAUUGCUGAGGAGCUUUAUACUAAGGGAGACCGGACAAAAGACGCUAUAGACGUGAACACCCAGGCUGGCCGUUGGGAACAAG
Molecule: non-coding RNA, 367 nt
Organism: Saimiri boliviensis boliviensis (Bolivian squirrel monkey)
Lineage: Eukaryota; Metazoa; Chordata; Mammalia; Primates; Cebidae
Source: RefSeq, a predicted model, not a curated record